Molecule: ribosomal RNA, 366 nt
Filed under: uncultured Alphaproteobacteria bacterium
Lineage: Bacteria; Pseudomonadati; Pseudomonadota; Alphaproteobacteria
Description: bacterial SSU rRNA
Rfam family: Bacterial small subunit ribosomal RNA
Source: RNAcentral
GGCGGCAGGCUUAACACAUGCAAGUCGAGCGCCUCGCAAGAGGAGCGGCAGACGGGUGAGUAACGCGUGGGAAUCUACCCAUCCCUACGGAACAACUCCGGGAAACUGGAGCUAAUACCGUAUACGCCCUUAGGGGGAAAGAUUUAUCGAGGAUGGAUGAGCCCGCGUUGGAUUAGCUAGUUGGUGGGGUAAAGGCCUACCAAGGCGACAAUCCAUAGCUGGUCUGAGAGGAUGAUCAGCCACAUUGGGACUGAGACACGGCCCAAACUCCUACGGGAGGCAGCAGUGGGGAAUAUUGGACAAUGGGCGCAAGCCUGAUCCAGCCAUGCCGCGUGAGUGAUGAAGGCCCUAGGGUUGUAAAGCUCU